RNAcentral lists this ribosomal RNA (440 nucleotides) under uncultured bacterium. RNAcentral describes it as "partial 16S ribosomal RNA". It matches the Rfam family "Bacterial small subunit ribosomal RNA", at positions 338 to 795 of the family's 1533-position model. The record is from RNAcentral.
CCUACGGGGGUCAGCAGUGGGGGAUAUUGCACAAUGGGGGAAACCCUGAUGCAGCGACGCCGCGUGUGGGAAGACGGUCCUCUGGAUUGUAAACCACUGUCCCCAGGGACGAAGAUGACGGUACCUGGGGAGGAAGCUCCGGCUAACUACGUGCCAGCAGCCGCGGGAAUAUGCAGGGAGCGAGCGUUGUCCGGAAUUACUGGGAGUAAAGGGAGCGUAGGCGGGACUGCAAGUUGGGUGUCAAAUCUACCGGCUCAACCGGUAGCCGCACUCAAAACUGCAGUUCUUGAGUGAAGUAGAGGCAAGCGGAAUUCCUAGUGUAGCGGUGAAAUGCGUAGAUAUUAGGAGGAACACCAGUGGCGAAGGCGGCCUGCUGGGCUUUUACUGACGCUGAGGCUCGAAAGUGUGGGGAGCAAACAGGAUUAGAUACCCGAGUAGUC